This 649-nucleotide ribosomal RNA is filed under the name Amanita sp. PC 0084422. RNAcentral describes it as "eukaryotic LSU rRNA". It matches the Rfam family "Eukaryotic large subunit ribosomal RNA", at positions 66 to 664 of the family's 3401-position model. Lineage: Eukaryota; Fungi; Basidiomycota; Agaricomycetes; Agaricales; Amanitaceae. The record is from RNAcentral.
UAACAGGAUUCCCUUAGUAACUGCGAGUGAAGUGGGAAGAGCUCAAAUUUGAAAUCUGGCAGUCUCCUUUUUUCUUCUUUGGCUGUCCGAAUUGUAACCUAGAGAAGUGCGUACCUGUGCUGGACCGUGUAUAAGUCUCCUGGAAUGGAGCGUCAUAGAAGGUGAGAAUCCUGUCUUUGACAUGGACUCCCAGUGCGUUGUGGUGUGCUCUCAAAGAGUCGAGUUGUUUGGGAAUGCAGCUCUAAAUGGGUGGUAAACUCCAUCUAAAGCUAAAUAUGGGCGAGAGACCGAUAGUGAACAAGUACCGUGAGGGAAAGAUGAAAAGCACUUUGGAAAGAGAGUUAAAAAGUAUGUGAAAUUGUUGAAAGGGAAACGCUUGAGGUCAGCUGUGUCAGGCAGGGAUCAACCUGGCAUUUUUUGCUGGGUGAAUUUCCUACACUGGCAGGCCAACAUCAGUUUUGACUGGCAGAAAAGGGCAGAGGGAAUGUGGCACUCUCGAGUGUGUUAUAGCCUUCUGUCAGAUGUGGCAGUUGGGACUGAGGAUUGAAGCGCGCUGUAAAAGCUGGGUUUCGACCACAUUCGCGCUUAGGAUGUUGGCUUCAUAAUGGCUUCAAUUGACCCGUCUGAAAAACACGGGGUAUGACGGGAC